GACGAAGGGGGCUAGCGUUGUUCGGAAUUACUGGGCGUAAAGCGCGUGUAGGCGGUUGCCCAAGUCGGGGGUGAAAGCCCGAGGCUCAACCUCGGAACUGCCUUCGAUACUGCGGGUCUCGAGUCCGGGAGAGGUGAGUGGAAUUCCUAGUGUAGAGGUGAAAUUCGUAGAUAUUAGGAAGAACACCAGUGGCGAAGGCGGCUCACUGGCCCGGUACUGACGCUGAGGCGCGAAAGCGUGGGGAGCAAACAGG
RNAcentral lists this ribosomal RNA (253 nucleotides) under uncultured bacterium. RNAcentral describes it as "partial 16S ribosomal RNA". It matches the Rfam family "Bacterial small subunit ribosomal RNA", at positions 524 to 776 of the family's 1533-position model. The record is from RNAcentral.